ACCUCCAGUUGUAAAGGAAAAUAGAGUCUUGGAUCCAAAAAAGUCACAAAACAUUGCCAUUCUACUAAGAGCACUGAAUGUAACUAGGGAUGAAGUCUCUGAUGCACUUCUAGAUGGAAAUCCAGAAGGGUUAGGUGUUGUGCUAUUAGAAACACUGGUAAAGAUGGCACCAACCAAA
Helianthus annuus (common sunflower) is the source of this 178-nucleotide long non-coding RNA. RefSeq lists it as uncharacterized. The transcript has 2 exons. The record is from RefSeq and is a predicted model, not a curated record. Lineage: Eukaryota; Viridiplantae; Streptophyta; Magnoliopsida; Asterales; Asteraceae.